This 2393-nucleotide long non-coding RNA is filed under the name Nicotiana benthamiana. Its description in RNAcentral is "long non-coding RNA (NBEN_LNC021369)". The record is from RNAcentral. Lineage: Eukaryota; Viridiplantae; Streptophyta; Magnoliopsida; Solanales; Solanaceae.
GUUUCUCCAAUCUGAGUGUGUCAAAGUUCCCAAAGAGCCUCAAUGGGACUCCAGGCAAUGCUCACGCCCAAAUUGUUUCACCUGAAUAGGGACAGGUGCGGUAUGGAAGGGCCAGCCCUCAAGUGUCCAAGUUCAGAGGGAGCUCAAUGGGUCCCAAGGAAAGGCUUAUUGGAAGGGAACACAACUUAAAAACUAAGAGAGAGUGCAAGUGAAGAACAGAGUUUUAAAGAACUCAGAAAGUAAAAAAAGAAGGGGAAGAGGUGCUGGGAAUAGUCAUAAACAAGUCAUACAAAGGGUUCUGGGAUUGAGGAAAUUGUCAAAUAGCCUAUGUACUUAGGCAUUAGCUAAUCGUGGGCAUACACAACAAUAGAGAGUGCUAUUGUGCUUACAAAAUCAAUAAGAAUACACAACACAUGAUGGUGACAUAGAGGUUAUGAUUCCAGGUAAAUCAAGCUUGAGCCAUAGACAAUAAUAUGUAAUAUUAUCAUGCCUCAAAAAAAUUAUUAGCAUCCAGACACAUUGGGGUAGGGGUUUUGGAGUUCAUAGCAAGAGAAAGUUAUAGCAUGCUAGAGUAAACGCUGAACUGAUCACAAACAGUAAGCAGACAUGCAAGUAAAGGUACUAAAUAAAUACAUUUUUGAUGAUUGCUGAAAAUCUUAAACAGGACAUACCAGUUUCAAAGAGGCAAAGUACAGUAAAAGCAGUAGCAGGACUUAAAAACAAGCCACAAUACAAGUAACAAGAUAGAAUGCUUUUUGAAUAUAAGUGUGAGUUCAGGAAACUAAGGGCGUUCGUUUUUUAUCAAUGCAAAAGCCAGGUAUUUAUAGUGUGAAAACAGGCAAAAACUAAGGCAGGAAAAUAACUAUGGAACUGUGUACCAAUUAAAAUCAAUCAGUAUGAAUACCUCCUUUAAUUAAGGAGUUUAAACUCAAACGAUAAAGGCCAGAGAACUUUUAAGGAAGGAGAUCGAGUAAGAAUCUUGUGCAAAGUAGGUAAUUAGGGGUAAAUACAUAGGGGUUUAAUUAAGGGAAGAAUUGAUGAAGAAUAUUUGAAAUACACGGUUGACCAAGUAAUGCAAGAAACACAAUAAAUCAAUCAGCACAUAGUAAAUCAAGGAUUCAAGGAUCCGAAGUUACGAAUCAACCAAGUCAGAAAUAGGAUAAUCGAAAGGCUAAGGAAAGUUUUUCAAAUCAACCUUAAAAACAAGGAAAUUAGUAAGACAAGGAAAGAAUCAAUUAGACUUGCACAAGGAGGUCUGAAAUCAGUCCACCACUAAAGGUUGUUAUGAGAGGGAAAUUUAGCAUAUAUAAAGAGUGUACGACCAUUAGGCAUGUGCGGUUAAACCAUGUCAAAGAGAGGCAUGAAUAAUAAUUAUAAAGUCUGUAGAUAGUGACAUAUAGUACUCACAUAAGCCGACUUAAUAAUAGGGAGAAGAGGGUAUAAGAAGCAUGCAAAAGAGUCCAUUAAAGACCUUUUCCAAAAUUAUAGUUGAGUUCUACUGAUAACAGGUAAUCAAAACCACAAAAGGCAAAGAUUUCGAUACUCAAUUGAGUAAUAGAUGAAACAACUUCAGAAACCCACACAGGUCUAAAGAAAUUAGGGCUUUGAAACCAAACAAGUUCAAAGAUGAGAAACAAACUAAUCACAUAGCAAAUAGUCUCAAUACUCGAAUGAAUCCCAAAAAUCUAGGGUUUUCCCCCAUCAAUCGAGUAUAGAGAUGAAAACAAGUAAAUCAGGCAGAAAUAUAAACAAAGAAAAUAAAAUCAGAAACCGUAAAAAAGAACUAAGGCUUUUAACAUAAAAAAGCAGUAGAAGAAGAUCAUAAGAAACACAGUAGAAGAAUCAACAUAAAAACACAGUAGAAAAACAACAUAAGAAACACAGUAGAACAUGUUAAAAAUCAAAAAAACUUUGAAAUGACUUAACAAAACCCUAAACUGGAAAAAGGUAAAGAUUGUGCAGGUAAAGUUUUGAAAGAAACUUUGAGGAGACGCUUAAGAGCUUAGAGAAAAUCACAGAUCUACAACGGAUCUAAAAGAAUCAGAAGAACCUCGAAGGUUAGGAUUUCAGAAGAACCCAGGUGGUGAGAAACGCUUGGAAAGUAAUUGAUCUGAGCUGGAGAAGCCAAGACCGGGCUUGAAAAACCAUGGGUGGCCGGAGCAAGGUCGGAGACAGCCAUAGAACUCGAUUGAAAUAAAGUAUGGGCCAAGAUUCUUCAAGGUCUGACCUUGAAACCAUAGAAACUAGGCAUGUAGGAGUCGUAGGAAGCAAGUACAUGCUCUUAAUGGCUUUGGAAGCCAUGGAUUCAUGCGACUUUAGGGUGGAGGUUGAAGGAGGCGAUUAGGGUUUUUGUUGGAGCUUGAAAGAAAAUUUGUGAGAAGGGGGAAUUCAAG